CCUACGGGAGGCAGCAGUGGGGAAUAUUGCACAAUGGGGGAAACCCUGAUGCAGCGACGCCGCGUGAGUGAAGAAGUAAUUCGUUACGUAAAGCUCUAUCAGCAGGGAAGAAAAUGACGGUACCUGAGUAAGAAGCCCCGGCUAACUACGUGCCAGCAGCCGCGGUAAUACGUAGGGGGCAAGCGUUAUCCGGAUUUACUGGGUGUAAAGGGAGCGUAGGCGGUGCGCCAAGUCUGGAGUGAAAUGCCGGAGCUUAACUGCGGAACUGCUUUGGAAACGGGCGAACUAGAGUGCGGGGGGGGUAAGCGGAAUUCCUGGUGUAGCGGUGAAAUGCGUAGAUAUGAGGAGGAACACCGGUGGCGAAGGCGGCUUACUGGAGCGUAACUGACGUUGAGGCUCGAAAGCGUGGGGAGCGAACAGGAUUAGAUACCCCAGUAGUC
Molecule: ribosomal RNA, 440 nt
Filed under: uncultured bacterium
Lineage: Bacteria
Description: partial 16S ribosomal RNA
Rfam family: Bacterial small subunit ribosomal RNA
Source: RNAcentral